GACUGUUUAGUUUAAAAAAAAAUAAAGGCCUUGUAAGCUUUAGCUCAACUAAGUUGAAUAGUCU
RNAcentral lists this transfer RNA (64 nucleotides) under Allacma fusca. Its description in RNAcentral is "tRNA-Thr". Lineage: Eukaryota; Metazoa; Arthropoda; Collembola; Symphypleona; Sminthuridae. The record is from RNAcentral.